GGCAAUUACAAGGGCAUCACACUACUUAGUCUCCCAGGUAAAAUCUACUCCAGGGUGGUGGAAAGGAGGGUUCGGCCGAUAGUCCAGCCUCGGAUUGAAGAGGAAAAUUGUGGGUUCCCUCCUGGAUGUGGUACAACCGACCAACUCUUCACUCUCAAAAGGAUCUUGGAGGGGGCCUGGGAGUAUGUCCAUCCAGUAAACAUGUGAUUUGUAUACUUUGAAGAGAUGU
This is a long non-coding RNA of Thalassophryne amazonica, 229 nucleotides long. RefSeq lists it as uncharacterized. The transcript has 3 exons. NCBI's taxonomy places the organism in Eukaryota, Metazoa, Chordata, Actinopteri, Batrachoidiformes, Batrachoididae. The record is from RefSeq and is a predicted model, not a curated record.